GGCAAUUUCCUGGUCACUUGGCCAUUACAUCAGGGUCGAAUGUUAGACAAGGCAUCUGUGGUGCUUUCCUAGAUAGAUGAUAUUCUGUUGAAGUCCGAUAUUCUCAAAGGCGCUAGUUACAGAGGGAUUCUCUGAAAAUGUCUGCGGUGGUGUUCAACGGUUGUGGAAUUUGCUGCUGACAGAGUAGUGUUCAUGUGAUCUUUGUUUCAAGCUGUGGGUGGCCUCUGAGGCCAUCAUACACUGCCCAUUUGGAGCAACAAUGUUUGAGGGAGAAAUUGCAUUUUUAAUGCGUUUAGUUUGGCUGAAGGGUGGGAACAUCAAAUAGCAGGAAAUUCCGUAUGAGGUCAGUGUAUUUGUUCAUAUCUGCAGAAACUGGAAGCAUUCAUAGCAAGUUCUUUGUCCUCAGCAGCUGAAAACAUGUUCUAUUCAAAUGUGCUUUAGAUGAACUGUAUUGAGUAGGCUGUCAGGCAGUAAUAUUGUCUCUAGCAGUGAGCAUAAGUAUUAAGCAUAAAAUAYGAAUCAGAUGAAGAACUCUGCUUUACAUCCCAUGUCCGGAUUUGUUCUUUUUACUGAAGCAGAAUAUUUGCACCAAUCCAUUAAAGCAUGGGUGAACCGUUCUCGUGCCAGUUCCGAUGGCUGUGUAUGUUUCUGCUCACUGAUAGUUACUCUUCAUUUUUGUUGUUUUACAUAGAGAAUGGAGUUGCUCUUCAUUUUCCUAGUGCAAAAGGGAAAAGUUUUAUUAAAAACCUGUUUCAGAUACUGAAAGACUGCGAAAGGUGGUCGAAGGUUACCGGAAGACUCGUGGCGAGGAAGUGCUGUACAGCAGUUCUUUAUUGUUGCGCAGCUGCUGCAAAGUUGCGGCUUCUUUUUAAGUAUCACUUUCAACCGGAACUAAAGCAGAGCAGCGUUAGCCAUCCCCGCAGUAGUCAAUGGCAGGCAGAGGCCAAAGUAUAGAGCUUAUACGAGUCUGUUAUCAGAGUGAUGUUCAAUGACUGCUCUGACUCAGGUCUUGCUGACGGAGGAAAAGGAAUUUGCACCAGACACAGAGCCCACAAAAUGCUGUACCUUCAAAACGGGAAGCAGGUGCCUCCAAGGCGCUUUUGGGUUCUGGGGCUCCCUUCUCAUCCUGAAGGGAAGAGACAUGUUCCAGAGCUGGCACCUAAGAAGGAAAGCGCAGACGAUUUGCUUUCCGAGCCUCGUGCCUCAACGCUGGAGCUGCGAGGUGGCCUCUGCUCCCUGGCGCUGCUGCUCCCAGCAUCCCCGCGCUGAGGAUGGUGCAGAUCUCCAGGAGGAGACUGCAGAAGCGGCAGGACCUUGGAGCCGUGCGGAGGGAUGCGGGAGGAGAGCGACGGGCGCGUGGCUCGCGGGUCUGGUGCUGCCGACGUCUGCAACGGGGCACGCUGGGCUGGUGGCGGGACUCUGCUGAGAUAAGGAAGCAGCGGUUCUCGUCUCCCUGGCUCCAGUUUCAGAAUGCGUCGCUUGCACUUUAUUAAAUAUGAAGAACUCCCGCCGAAGCCAGCAGGAAUUGCGUGGAUGGCCCAGCACGUUACCUGUUCUCUCCUAGUCUUUGGUAAGAUGCCAAACCUAUAUCCUUGCAGCUUGUGCUGAUGUUCCCCAUUAAAGAAUGAUAUCAGCAAGAUCUCUACCUUUUUAGUUAUUAAAUCAAAGCUAUGCUGAAAAUAACUACCCG
Molecule: long non-coding RNA, 1690 nt
Organism: Dromaius novaehollandiae (emu)
Lineage: Eukaryota; Metazoa; Chordata; Aves; Casuariiformes; Dromaiidae
Source: Ensembl